AGAAAAGAAUAGAACUUAUUCCUAUGUUAGAAUGGUAACCAUUACCAUGUUACAUAGUAACGGAAAUUUUUGUGAGAAUUCUGAAAUAUUGCUGUAGUAUGUU
This is a long non-coding RNA of Cotesia glomerata, 103 nucleotides long. RefSeq lists it as uncharacterized. The record is from RefSeq and is a predicted model, not a curated record. The transcript has 4 exons. Lineage: Eukaryota; Metazoa; Arthropoda; Insecta; Hymenoptera; Braconidae.